RNAcentral lists this ribosomal RNA (405 nucleotides) under uncultured bacterium. RNAcentral's name for it is "bacterial SSU rRNA". It matches the Rfam family "Bacterial small subunit ribosomal RNA", at positions 976 to 1381 of the family's 1533-position model. The record is from RNAcentral.
UAGCCUUGACAUACUACAGAAUUUGACAGAGAUGUUGAAGUGCCUUCGGGAGCUGUAAUACAGGUGCUGCACGGCUGUCGUCAGCUCGUGUCGUGAGAUGUUGGGUUAAGUCCCGCAACGAGCGCAACCCUCGUCCUUAGUUACUAACGGUUCGGCUGAGGACUCUAAGGAGACUGCCUUCGUAAGGAGGAGGAAGGUGAGGACGACGUCAAGUCAUCAUGGCCCUUACGGCUAGGGCAACACACGUGCUACAAUGGCCAGGACAGUGAGACGCGAUACCGCGAGGUGGAGCAAAUCUAUAAACCUGGUCUCAGUUCGGAUUGUAGUCUGCAACUCGACUACAUGAAGCUGGAAUCACUAGUAAUCGUAGAUCAGCUAUGCUACGGUGAAUACGUUCCCGGGUCU